GAGUUUGAUCCUGGCUCAGGACGAACGCUGGCGGCGUGCCUAACACAUGCAAGUCGAGCGAUGAAACCCUUCGGGGUGGAAUAGCGGCGGACGGGUGAGUAACACGUGGGCAACCUGCCUUAUAGAGGGGGAUAGCCUUCCGAAAGGAAGAUUAAUACCGCAUAACAUAUCUUUGCUGCAUGGCAGAGACAUCAAAAGAGCAAUCCGCUAUAAGAUGGACCCGCGGCGCAUUAGCUAGUUGGUGAGGUAACGGCCCACCAAGGCGACGAUGCGUAGCCGACCUGAGAGGGUGAUCGGCCACAUUGGAACUGAGAUACGGUCCAGACUCCUACGGGAGGCAGCAGUGGGGAAUAUUGCGCAAUGGGGGAAACCCUGACGCAGCAACGCCGCGUGAAUGAAGAAGGCCUUAGGGUUGUAAAGUUCUGUUUUCUGGGACGAUAAUGACGGUACCAGAGGAGGAAGCCACGGCUAACUACGUGCCAGCAGCCGCGGUAAUACGUAGGUGGCAAGCGUUGUCCGGAUUUACUGGGCGUAAAGGAUGCGUAGGCGGAUGUUUAAGUGAGAUGUGAAAUACCCGGGCUUAACUUGGGUGCUGCAUUUCAAACUGGAUAUCUAGAGUGCAGGAGAGGAAAGCGGAAUUCCUAGUGUAGCGGUGAAAUGCGUAGA
Molecule: ribosomal RNA, 666 nt
Filed under: uncultured bacterium
Lineage: Bacteria
Description: bacterial SSU rRNA
Rfam family: Bacterial small subunit ribosomal RNA
Source: RNAcentral